UUAGUAGAAGCCAAAAAGAGGCAUAUCACUGUUAAUGAUAUUAUUGAAGUACUUCACCUUCCUACUAAG
This 69-nucleotide transfer RNA is filed under the name Remiarctus bertholdii. RNAcentral's name for it is "tRNA-Asn". Lineage: Eukaryota; Metazoa; Arthropoda; Malacostraca; Decapoda; Scyllaridae. The record is from RNAcentral.